UGCAGUUAAAAAGCUCGUAGUCGGAUUUCAUGUAGAGAAGUAUAUUUGGCCCUUUGGGUUACAAAGAAACCAUCUCUGCAUUCUUUUGCUGUUACUGCGUUCUCUCACUUCAUUGUGCGAAACGUAUGUUCGGCAUCUUUUACUUUGAGAAAAUUAGAGUGUUCAAAGCAGACAUUUUUGUCUUGAAUAUUACUCAUGGAAUAAUAAUAUAUGUCUUCGGUCUUCCUUUGUUGGUGUUUGUAGGCUGGAGUAAUGAUUGAUAGGGACAGUUGGGGUCAUUAGUACUUCUUAGCGAGAGGUGAAAUUCUUAGACCUUAGAAAGACUAACUACUGCGAAAGCAUUUGACAAGGAUGUUCCCGUUGAUCAAGAACGAAAGUUGAGGGAUCGAAGACGAUCAGAUACCGUCGUAGUCUCAACCAUAAACUAUGCCAGCUAGGGAUUGGGAGAGGCCUAAAUUUUCAAAGACUCUCUCAGCACCUUAUGAGAAAUCAAAGCAUUUGGGUUCCGGGGGGAGUAUGGUCGCAAGGCUGAAACUUAAAGGAAUUGACGGGAGGGCACCACCAGGAGUGGGGCCUGUGGCUUAAUUUGAUUCAACACGGGAAAACUUACCAGGUCCGGACAUAGUAAGGAUUGACAGAUUGAAGCUCUUUCUUGGUUCUAUGGGUGGUGGUGCAUGCCGUUCUAG
This 686-nucleotide ribosomal RNA is filed under the name uncultured marine eukaryote. RNAcentral's name for it is "bacterial SSU rRNA". It matches the Rfam family "Eukaryotic small subunit ribosomal RNA", at positions 614 to 1297 of the family's 1831-position model. The record is from RNAcentral.